Molecule: ribosomal RNA, 2902 nt
Filed under: Escherichia fergusonii
Lineage: Bacteria; Pseudomonadati; Pseudomonadota; Gammaproteobacteria; Enterobacterales; Enterobacteriaceae
Description: 23S ribosomal RNA
Rfam family: Bacterial large subunit ribosomal RNA
Source: RNAcentral
UUAAGCGACUAAGCGUACACGGUGGAUGCCCUGGCAGUCAGAGGCGAUGAAGGACGUGCUAAUCUGCGAUAAGCGUCGGUAAGGUGAUAUGAACCGUUAUAACCGGCGAUUUCCGAAUGGGGAAACCCAGUGUGAUUCGUCACACUAUCAUUAACUGAAUCCAUAGGUUAAUGAGGCGAACCGGGGGAACUGAAACAUCUAAGUACCCCGAGGAAAAGAAAUCAACCGAGAUUCCCCCAGUAGCGGCGAGCGAACGGGGAGGAGCCCAGAGCCUGAAUCAGUGUGUGUGUUAGUGGAAGCGUCUGGAAAGGCGCGCGAUACAGGGUGACAGCCCCGUACACAAAAAUGCACAUACUGUGAGCUCGAUGAGUAGGGCGGGACACGUGGUAUCCUGUCUGAAUAUGGGGGGACCAUCCUCCAAGGCUAAAUACUCCUGACUGACCGAUAGUGAACCAGUACCGUGAGGGAAAGGCGAAAAGAACCCCGGCGAGGGGAGUGAAAAAGAACCUGAAACCGUGUACGUACAAGCAGUGGGAGCCUCUUUAUGGGGUGACUGCGUACCUUUUGUAUAAUGGGUCAGCGACUUAUAUUCUGUAGCAAGGUUAACCGAAUAGGGGAGCCGAAGGGAAACCGAGUCUUAACUGGGCGUUAAGUUGCAGGGUAUAGACCCGAAACCCGGUGAUCUAGCCAUGGGCAGGUUGAAGGUUGGGUAACACUAACUGGAGGACCGAACCGACUAAUGUUGAAAAAUUAGCGGAUGACUUGUGGCUGGGGGUGAAAGGCCAAUCAAACCGGGAGAUAGCUGGUUCUCCCCGAAAGCUAUUUAGGUAGCGCCUCGUGAAUUCAUCUCCGGGGGUAGAGCACUGUUUCGGCAAGGGGGUCAUCCCGACUUACCAACCCGAUGCAAACUGCGAAUACCGGAGAAUGUUAUCACGGGAGACACACGGCGGGUGCUAACGUCCGUCGUGAAGAGGGAAACAACCCAGACCGCCAGCUAAGGUCCCAAAGUCAUGGUUAAGUGGGAAACGAUGUGGGAAGGCCCAGACAGCCAGGAUGUUGGCUUAGAAGCAGCCAUCAUUUAAAGAAAGCGUAAUAGCUCACUGGUCGAGUCGGCCUGCGCGGAAGAUGUAACGGGGCUAAACCAUGCACCGAAGCUGCGGCAGCGACGCUUAUGCGUUGUUGGGUAGGGGAGCGUUCUGUAAGCCUGUGAAGGUGUGCUGUGAGGCAUGCUGGAGGUAUCAGAAGUGCGAAUGCUGACAUAAGUAACGAUAAAGCGGGUGAAAAGCCCGCUCGCCGGAAGACCAAGGGUUCCUGUCCAACGUUAAUCGGGGCAGGGUGAGUCGACCCCUAAGGCGAGGCCGAAAGGCGUAGUCGAUGGGAAACAGGUUAAUAUUCCUGUACUUGGUGUUACUGCGAAGGGGGGACGGAGAAGGCUAUGUUGGCCGGGCGACGGUUGUCCCGGUUUAAGCGUGUAGGCUGGUUUUCCAGGCAAAUCCGGAAAAUCAAGGCUGAGGCGUGAUGACGAGGCACUACGGUGCUGAAGCAACAAAUGCCCUGCUUCCAGGAAAAGCCUCUAAGCAUCAGGUAACAUCAAAUCGUACCCCAAACCGACACAGGUGGUCAGGUAGAGAAUACCAAGGCGCUUGAGAGAACUCGGGUGAAGGAACUAGGCAAAAUGGUGCCGUAACUUCGGGAGAAGGCACGCUGAUAUGUAGGUGAAGCGACUUGCUCGUGGAGCUGAAAUCAGUCGAAGAUACCAGCUGGCUGCAACUGUUUAUUAAAAACACAGCACUGUGCAAACACGAAAGUGGACGUAUACGGUGUGACGCCUGCCCGGUGCCGGAAGGUUAAUUGAUGGGGUUAGCGGUAACGCGAAGCUCUUGAUCGAAGCCCCGGUAAACGGCGGCCGUAACUAUAACGGUCCUAAGGUAGCGAAAUUCCUUGUCGGGUAAGUUCCGACCUGCACGAAUGGCGUAAUGAUGGCCAGGCUGUCUCCACCCGAGACUCAGUGAAAUUGAACUCGCUGUGAAGAUGCAGUGUACCCGCGGCAAGACGGAAAGACCCCGUGAACCUUUACUAUAGCUUGACACUGAACAUUGAGCCUUGAUGUGUAGGAUAGGUGGGAGGCUUUGAAGUGUGGACGCCAGUCUGCAUGGAGCCGGCCUUGAAAUACCACCCUUUAAUGUUUGAUGUUCUAACGUUGGCCCCUUAUCGGGGUUGCGGACAGUGUCUGGUGGGUAGUUUGACUGGGGCGGUCUCCUCCUAAAGAGUAACGGAGGAGCACGAAGGUUGGCUAAUCCUGGUCGGACAUCAGGAGGUUAGUGCAAUGGCAUAAGCCAGCUUGACUGCGAGCGUGACGGCGCGAGCAGGUGCGAAAGCAGGUCAUAGUGAUCCGGUGGUUCUGAAUGGAAGGGCCAUCGCUCAACGGAUAAAAGGUACUCCGGGGAUAACAGGCUGAUACCGCCCAAGAGUUCAUAUCGACGGCGGUGUUUGGCACCUCGAUGUCGGCUCAUCACAUCCUGGGGCUGAAGUAGGUCCCAAGGGUAUGGCUGUUCGCCAUUUAAAGUGGUACGCGAGCUGGGUUUAGAACGUCGUGAGACAGUUCGGUCCCUAUCUGCCGUGGGCGCUGGAGAACUGAGGGGGGCUGCUCCUAGUACGAGAGGACCGGAGUGGACGCAUCACUGGUGUUCGGGUUGUCAUGCCAAUGGCACUGCCCGGUAGCUAAAUGCGGAAGAGAUAAGUGCUGAAAGCAUCUAAGCACGAAACUUGCCCCGAGAUGAGUUCUCCCUGACCCUUUAAGGGUCCUGAAGGAACGUUGAAGACGACGACGUUGAUAGGCCGGGUGUGUAAGCGCAGCGAUGCGUUGAGCUAACCGGUACUAAUGAACCGUGAGGCUUAACCU